MicroRNA precursor from Oryza sativa Indica Group (long-grained rice), 203 nucleotides. It matches the Rfam family "MIR812 microRNA precursor family". The record is from Rfam. NCBI's taxonomy places the organism in Eukaryota, Viridiplantae, Streptophyta, Magnoliopsida, Poales, Poaceae.
AAAAAGACAAACACUGGUUUCGUGUCCAACGUUUGACCGUCCGUUUUAUUUGAAAAAAUUAUAAAAAAAAUUAAAAAAAUAAGUCACGCAUAAAAUAUUAAUCAUGUUUUAUCAUCUAACAACAACGCAAGUACGAAUUACAAAAAAAUUUCAUAUAAGACGAACAGUCAAAUUGGAUACGGAAACCAAGAACUUGUCUUUUU